Molecule: small nuclear RNA, 198 nt
Organism: Prunus persica (peach)
Lineage: Eukaryota; Viridiplantae; Streptophyta; Magnoliopsida; Rosales; Rosaceae
Rfam family: U2 spliceosomal RNA
About the family: U2 is a small nuclear RNA (snRNA) component of the spliceosome (involved in pre-mRNA splicing). Complementary binding between U2 snRNA (in an area lying towards the 5' end but 3' to hairpin I) and the branchpoint sequence (BPS) of the intron results the bulging out of an unpaired adenosine, on the BPS, which initiates a nucleophilic attack at the intronic 5' splice site, thus starting the first of two transesterification reactions that mediate splicing.
Source: Rfam
AUACCUUUCUCGGCCUUUUGGCUAAGAUCAAGUGUGGUAUCUGUUCGUAUCAGUUUAAUAUCUGGUAUGUGGGCCAAUGGCCCACCUCCUUUAUUAAAUUAAUUUCUUUAGAGGGAGAGCCCACCACAGUAGCUUGCUGCUGUGGUUCUCGCACGUUGCCCAAGUGAUGCACGACUGCAUGGGCCUGGCGUACCCCAU